RNAcentral lists this ribosomal RNA (484 nucleotides) under uncultured bacterium. Its description in RNAcentral is "partial 16S ribosomal RNA". It matches the Rfam family "Bacterial small subunit ribosomal RNA", at positions 30 to 507 of the family's 1533-position model. The record is from RNAcentral.
AUUGAACGCUGGCGGCAUGCCUUACACAUGCAAGUCGAACGGCAGCACGGACUUCGGUCUGGUGGCGAGUGGCGAACGGGUGAGUAAUGUAUCGGAACGUACCUUUCAGUGGGGGAUAACGUAGCGAAAGUUACGCUAAUACCGCAUAUUCUGUGAGCAGGAAAGCAGGGGAUCGAAAGACCUUGCGCUGAUUGAGCGGCCGAUAUCAGAUUAGCUAGUUGGUGGGGUAAAGGCCUACCAAGGCGACGAUCUGUAGCGGGUCUGAGAGGAUGAUCCGCCACACUGGAACUGAGACACGGGCCAGACUCCUACGGGAGGCAGCAGUGGGGAAUUUUGGACAAUGGGGGCAACCCUGAUCCAGCCAUGCCGCGUGAGUGAAGAAGGCCUUCGGGUUGUAAAGCUCUUUCGGCCGGGAAGAAAUCGCAUAGGCUAAUACCCUGUGUGGAUGACGGUACCGGAAGAAGAAGCACCGGCUAACUACGUG